CCUACGGGAGGCAGCAGUGGGGGAUAUUGGACAAUGGGGGAAACCAUGAUCCAGCGACGCCGCGUGAGUGAACAAGUAUUUCGGUAUGUAAAGCUCUGUCAGCAGGGAAGAAAGCAAUGACGGUACCUUAGUAAGAAGCCCCGGCUAACUACGUGCCAGCAGCCGCGGUAAUACGUAGGGGGCAAGCGUUCUCCGGAAUUACUGGGUGAAAAGUGAGCGUAGAGGGUAGUUCAAGUCGGGGGUGAAAGGCGGGGGCCAAACCCAGGACUGCUCUGGAAACUGUGUAACUGGAGUGCAGGAGAGGAAGGGGGAAUUCCUAGUGUAGCGGUGAAAUGCGUAGAUAUUAGGAGGAACACCAGUGGCGAAGGCGGCCUGCUGGACUGUAACGGACGUUGAGGCUCGAAAGCGUGGGGAGCAAACAGGAUUAGAUACCCUUGUAGUC
Molecule: ribosomal RNA, 442 nt
Filed under: uncultured bacterium
Lineage: Bacteria
Description: partial 16S ribosomal RNA
Rfam family: Bacterial small subunit ribosomal RNA
Source: RNAcentral